This 96-nucleotide transfer RNA is filed under the name Pseudobythopirellula maris. Its description in RNAcentral is "Planctomycetes bacterium Mal64 tRNA-Phe". Lineage: Bacteria; Pseudomonadati; Planctomycetota; Planctomycetia; Pirellulales; Lacipirellulaceae. The record is from RNAcentral.
GGACCGGGUCGGAGGCGGCGUCGAGCCAAUUGGUGUUGAAGCCGCCAACGGCGCCCAGCGUGGCGCCGGAGUGGGGAUCAACCCUGAUUGGUCCUC